GUGCUCGCUCUAACAGCACAAAUACAAUUGGAAUGAUAUGAAGAAGAUUUGGGUGGCCCCUAUGCAAGGAUAACUCAUAAAUUUGAGAAGUAUUCCAUAUUAAA
This is a small nuclear RNA of Tupaia belangeri (northern tree shrew), 104 nucleotides long. The record is from Ensembl. NCBI's taxonomy places the organism in Eukaryota, Metazoa, Chordata, Mammalia, Scandentia, Tupaiidae.